UACGUAGGGGGCAAGCGUUGUCCGGAUUUAUUGGGCGUAAAGAGCGUGUAGGCGGCUGGGUAGGUCCGUUGUGAAAACUCGAGGCUCAACCUCGAGACGCCGAUGGAAACCCUCCAGCUAGAGUCCGGAAGAGGAGAGUGGAAUUCCUGGUGUAGCGGUGAAAUGCGCAGAUAUCAGGAAGAACACCCGUGGCUAAGGCGGCUCUCUAGUACGGUACUGACGCUGAGACGCGAAAGCGUGGGGAGCGAACAGG
This 253-nucleotide ribosomal RNA is filed under the name uncultured bacterium. RNAcentral's name for it is "partial 16S ribosomal RNA". It matches the Rfam family "Bacterial small subunit ribosomal RNA", at positions 524 to 776 of the family's 1533-position model. The record is from RNAcentral.